Molecule: long non-coding RNA, 2619 nt
Organism: Eriocheir sinensis (Chinese mitten crab)
Lineage: Eukaryota; Metazoa; Arthropoda; Malacostraca; Decapoda; Varunidae
Exons: 2
Source: RefSeq, a predicted model, not a curated record
ACGAGAGGGAGGAGGAGGUGGAGGUGGAGGUGGAAUUGGAGGUGGAGAUGGAGAAGGAGGAGGAGGUGAAGGUGGAGGUGGAAGUGGAGGUGGAGAAGGAGAAGGAGGAGGAGGUGAAGGUGGAGGAGGAGGUAACUUUAUUCUCUUACAGUCCUCAUAUAAGGCAACCACGAGGUCUGUUUUUUUUCUUUUUAAAGGAGGAGGAGGAACAAAGGAACACAAAGAGAGAACAAACAACAGCAGGCCUGCUGGUCCUUACGAGGCUGUUUGUGAUAAGCUACACUAACUAUCUAAUCAAAGGUGGAAGAUGAAGGACAGCAAAGGCGAAGGCCGUGGUGAGCAAAUCAGGGAAGUAAAGUAACGGAACAGGCCGAGGCAGCAACACUAUAAUAUAGUCGCCAAGUCAGUCAGUUCGGGGCCUCGCCAUUCGCGCCAAUCCCGGGCAGAAUCUUGGCGGUUCAGUCUCCUUCCUUCGCCCUGUCAACUUCCCACUUUCGUCACAUCACUUUCCUUCCUUCCCUCGUUCCUUCCUUCCUUCCUUCCUUCCCUCGUUGUUGCUUUCCUUCCUUCCUUCCCUCGUUCCUUCCUUCGUCCUGUCAUCUUUCUCCAUCCUCCCUUCCUCCUGUCACCUUCCCCCCUUUAUUCCUCCCUUCCUCUGUCACCUUCCUUUGGCCUUCGUCCUGCCAUCCUUGAUCCAACAAAAACGGUCUCCGGCGCCUUCACUGUAUUUUCGAUUGAUUUGAAUUAAUCCCGUCUGGAAUUUUAAGAGGCUCAUCUUGCUAUCCACCCUCCUCGCCUCGCGGGGCUGGGGAGCGUCAGGGGGCCCAAGGCCUUCCUGGCGAGCGUCGCAGGGCUCAGGGCUCCGGCAGGGCGCCUCGGCUCCCCCGGAGCGUCCACGGAGGUGUCGGAGAUCCCGAGGGUCCGGGGGUUGGGGGGGCGUGAAGUGGCAGCAAGACAUGCAGUUACUGACCUCUUAUUAGCCAGACGACGCGUUAAUGACACGUUCCAAUGGAAGGUUCGACGCAUGGGGAGGUACAAUUCCCCUAAGCAAGGCAAGUGUCAUGCCAACUACGAUAAAAAACGAAAAAUACAAAAAAAAUACAAAAACAAAAAAUCCAAAAAAAAUUGUCUUGUUUUGCUUUGUUUAAAGCGUCUUGUAUGUUGGCAUGGCGGGUCUUCUCUGGGGAGAAGGAGACUAACGCGUUCCAACAUACAAAACCAGGAAAAGACGACAUGGAAACACCGAGAGAAGGAAGGGAAAGAAGGGAACACCAGAAGAAGGAAAAUGAGGAGAAGUAACACUAGAAGAAGGCAUAUGAAGUAACACAAGAAGAAGGAAGUUGAAAAGAGUAACACAAGAAAAAGGAAUUUGAAAAGAGUAACACAAAAAAAAGGAAUUUGAAAAGAGUUACACAGAAGAAGGUAUUGAAAAGAGUUACACAGAAGAAGGUAUUGAAAAGAGUUACACAGAAGAAGGUAUUGAAAAGAGUUACACAGAAGAAGGUAUUGAAAAGAGUAACACAGAAGAAGGUAUUGAAAAGAGUAACACAGAAGAAGGUAUUGAAAAGAGUAACACAGAAGAAGGUAUUGAAAAGAGUUACACAGAAGAAGGUAUUGAAAAGAGUAACACAGAAGAAGGUAUUGAAAAGAGUUACACAGAAGAAGGUAUUGAAAAGAGUAACACAGAAGAAGGUAUUGAAAAGAGUUACACAGAAGAAGGUAUUGAAAAGAGUUACACAGAAGAAGGUAUUGAAAAGAGUUACACAGAAGAAGGUAUUGAAAAGAGUAACACAGAAGAAGGUAUUGAAAAGAGUUACACAGAAGAAGGUAUUGAAAAGAGUAACACAGAAGAAGGUAUUGAAAAGAGUUACACAGAAGAAGGUAUUGAAAAGAGUAACACAGAAGAAGGUAUUGAAAAGAGUUACACAGAAGAAGGAAUUUGAAAAGAGUAACACAAGAAGAAGGAAUUUGAAGAUAAAUAACACAAGAAGAAGAAAUGUGAAGUAACACCGGAAGGAAAAUGCAGAGAAGUAACACUAGAAAAAUGAAAAUGGAAAUGAAAAGAAUCAUCCACCUUUCGGCCCAAACCAACAUCACAAAAUUAUGGGCGAGUCUCUUCUGGGAGGAAAGCGGCUCGUUCAGACCCAGGAACACCAGAAAGGAUGAUAGAAACAUCAAGAAAAGGAAAACAGAAAAGUCAUCCACCUUUCGGCCCCUGGGGCCGCAGGGUGGGUGACGGGUGAAUCUCCUCUGGGGAGAAGGAGGCUAACCCACACAGUCAAGAUAGAGGAUAGAGAAAGGAAAUUAAAUCAUCGAGAAAAGAAAAUGAAAUUACAAUAUCAAGAAAAUAACUAAAAAGUCAUCGAGCUUUCGGCCCCUGGGGCCGCAGGGCGGGUGACGGGUGAGUCUUCUGAGGAGGAGGAGGCUCAUCCACAGCCAGCAACACCAACAGAAAGAAAAGAAAAGAAAACAUCAUGAGAAAAGAAAAGAAAACAUCAAGAGAAAAGAAAAGAAAAGGAAAAGAAAAGAAAAGAACAAAGUAAACAAAGCAAAACAAGACAAAACAAAAACAAAACAAAAUAAAACAAAUUAAAACAACAUAAUAAAUAAAUAAAUAAA